RNAcentral lists this non-coding RNA (25 nucleotides) under Rattus norvegicus (Norway rat). Lineage: Eukaryota; Metazoa; Chordata; Mammalia; Rodentia; Muridae. The record is from RNAcentral.
UGGGUUAACAAGAUAACUGGGGUGG